This 3503-nucleotide long non-coding RNA is filed under the name Nicotiana tabacum (common tobacco). Its description in RNAcentral is "long non-coding RNA (NTAB_LNC017599)". Lineage: Eukaryota; Viridiplantae; Streptophyta; Magnoliopsida; Solanales; Solanaceae. The record is from RNAcentral.
GGUAAUAUUUGCUUACUACAACAAAAUUAAUCCUAGUGCAUUACAUGUAUAUGGAUUCUCAAUUGGUGUUAGCUUAAAUAUACAGAAAAGAGAGAAGAGAAGGUGGCUGUUCAGAAAACAAUCACAAAAUGCUCAACAAAAUGAAGGGAAGGUAAUUGCUGAUCCAAAGCAUGCAAUUGCAGUGGCCGCAGCAACAGCAGCAGCAGCUGAAGCUGCCGUGGCCACAGCUCAAGCAGCUGUUGAGAUCAUUCGGUUGACACGAUCCUCAAAUAAUCCACCUUCUUCAAACAGGCAACACAAUGCUGCUAUACUCAUCCAAACUGCAUUCAGAGGAUAUCUGGUAAGUGAGCUACAAGUUUUUUUUUUCUAACAAAGCAAAAAGAAAAGUUUUUGACCGUUAACUCCCUUCUGUCACCAUCUAUUUGUACUGACACGAUUGUUGUAAAAAUAUGAAUGGUUUAACAUUUGUUUAGACAUAUGUUGACUCCAUCACUAGAUUUUGACUUGUGCUGAAGAAAAUAAACUUCAGAGACUGUUUUCAGAAAAGUAAAUCUGAUUCUAGAAAAUUUAGUGAUUUUAGAGUUUAAAACUGGACAAUGGUUUUUUGUGACAAGUAAAAAUACUACUUACAGUCUAGCAUUUUAAAAGGAGAAAGCAUUCAGUACUCAGUAGUUAGUAGUUACCAUAAGUACUUAAUUCAGGGCUAGCUUUAGAUUGAGGACCAUAUUGAAUUGAUCACAAGUCAUGCAUUGGAAUGUUAAAUAUUUAUAGAUGUAGUGGUUAAUUAUUUACCUGUCAUGUGAAGCAGUUGAUUACUUAAUUUGUUGGUGCAGGCUAGGAGGGCACUAAUUGCAUUGAAGGGGAUAGUGAAGCUUCAAGCAUUAAUAAGGGGUCAAAACGUCAGGAAGCAAGCAAAGAUGACACUCAAAUGUAUGCAAGCUCUCCUUAGGGUGCAGGCUCGGGUUCGCGAACAACGUGCUCGCCUUUCACAUGAUGGAGGCCGCAGGUCUAUGUUUGCUGAAACCACUAAUUUAUGGGACUCUAAAUAUCUUCAUGACAUCCGAGACAGGAAGUCCAGAGUAAGCUCUACUUUCCACCUCAGGUAGUAUAAUACAGAACAAUAGAACCAGAGGCGGAUGCAGGAUUUAAGUUUUACCGGUUCAAUCCUGAAAGUUUUUUGUCAUGAACUCAUUGCAUCUUUAAUUCAAACCUACUACUUAGUGAAUUUUUACACUUAAAGUUUUGAUCUGCGUCCAAAGUAACUCUACAGCCGCCUCUGCUUAGAACCUCUUAAUUAAUCUCUGACAGAUAAAACUUUUGUACUAACUACAGUCUAGAGAUGGAAGCUCCAUAGCUGAUGAUUGGAGGGAUUGCCCGAGAUCGCUUCUAGAGCUGGAAUCAAUGUUACAAGCCAGAAAAGAAGCUUCCUUUAAACAGGAAAAAUCCCUUGCUCAUGCUUUUACUCAGCAGGUUCAACUAUCUUUAUCCCUUAAUUCUUGCGCUAAACAUGAAUUCACAUGCUAUUCUUUCAAGAAGUAAGCACUCAAUUACCUAGUCUUUAACAUAGGUAUGGGAUGAGAUGGAUCUUGGCAGUGAAGAAAGAAAUGAGAGAGAACUAGAAGAGACAGCAAAUUGGCUAGAUGAUUGGAUGUCGUCAAAGCAAUGGAACACGGUCAGCAGCAGAGGUUCAUUUGACAGAAGGGACUCUAUAAAGACUGUUGAGAUGGACACGGCUAAGUCCUAUUCUAACAUGGUUCCAAAUGCUCGAAGAUCACAACACUCGAGUCCACUUCACAGACAAGCUAGUAGUCCUCAUUGUGCUGCUAAUUCUCCCCAUCACCAGAGACCAUCACAUUACAAUUACUCCACAAUUCAACCACCAGCUACCCCACCCCCUUGUCAACCAAAACCUCUCCAAAUGCGCCCAACAAGCCCACGUAAAAGCCAAUCAACUGCAAACACUCCAUGCCUACGCUCCACUACCCGUUCAAACAGUAUAAUGUCUCGUUAUAGCACUUCAGGAAAUGAUGCAGCUACUGCAGUUCCUAAUUAUAUGGCUGCUACCGAGUCUGCAAAAGCUCGGAUUCGUUCACAAAGCACGCCAAAACAAAGGCCGUCUACGCCAGAAAGAGAAAGAGUUGGGUCCGUCAAAAAACGUCUGUCUUACCCAAUUCCUGAGCCAUAUUCUCUUAAUGCUACCUAUGGCUAUAGUCAGAACUUGAGAAGUCCUAGCUUCAAAAGUCUCCAAGCUGCCUAUCUGGGAAUGGAACAACAAUCAAACUACUCGUGUUACACAGACAGCCUUGGUGGAGAAAUUUCGCCUUGUUCAACCACUGAUUUGAGAAGGUGGUUAAGAUGAGAAAUCCAGCAAUAGUACUGAAUAAGGAUGACAGACACCAAAGCCAGCUCUUGUGUGUCCUAUUUUCUUUUAUUUAGACGGGAAAAUCAGGGUGUAGGUUAAUGCUAGUUAUAAAAGAAGCAAGAAAUGUCUCGCCCUGGUCUGUAUUUCUUUGUUCAUUUUCUAGUUUAUAGUAGAGGUAAAAUUUUGAAUUUUCUAAUGGUUCAUUUCCCUUAACCUCAAAUAAUUAACACUUUGGAAUUAUAUAUCAAUCAAAGUAAUCAAACACAUUUCAAUCCCAAACUAAUCAGGAUCAACUAUACUCUAUCGAGCUCAUUUCCUCAUAUAACAAAUAAUUUAUCUUCUAAAAUAAAUUGACGAUUCUCUAAAAUAGGUACUCUUAAAUUUUUACGCUCUUACUUAUAGUAACAUUCUUAGAAAAUACAAAACAUUCUGAUUUGCAGUAUUGGCAAUUGACACUGAUUUAUGUUGAAUUGACAAACAGAUUCAUACUUCAGUUAAACUAUACGAAUUAUGUACAAAGAGAUGGACGGAUCUGGACUUCAGCAUCAUGUGUUCUGCACUCAUAGCUUUUGCCUCAAAUCAUAUAGAAGUAAUAUAAUCUAAUGAUUAUAAAUAUGAGAAAUGUCUCUAUUGAGAAACCAAUCAACUAGAGAAGGAGAAUAUUGUUGUUCGGCCUCAAUGUAAGUAAAGCAAAAUCAAGAACAUCAGUAAGAAGAUACAGAAUAACUAACAAUUAGUCGAGAUACAUAUCACCCUUAUAAAAGAUAUUAACUGUUAAUGCGUGAAGGGGUUGAAGGAACAGUUAAAAUCAGUUGUGAAGUUUCUGUUGUCUUACUUGAGACAUAAUUGAAACCAUGAGUGCAGCAAGGACAAUCAAUGUUCGCAGACUUUGAAUGUUGACAGAUUUACUGAGAUACUCUCCCUUGCAAUUACCUCAGCAAAAUUUAGUGUCCAUUAAUAGAUGGACCCUUUUCAACCUGCACUAAUCGUACAAAAAGAAAAUAUCAGAGUGACUGUAAGAAACAUGUGCUUUACUGCAAGAGUACUAAUUGUGUCAUCACAUAUAUAACCAAAAACAAUCAUUUCAACAGAAAUGGUUAGGGACGCCGGUGUACUAACCUCUCGCUAUGCGUGAGGUCCG